RNAcentral lists this ribosomal RNA (496 nucleotides) under uncultured soil bacterium. Its description in RNAcentral is "bacterial SSU rRNA". It matches the Rfam family "Bacterial small subunit ribosomal RNA", at positions 26 to 517 of the family's 1533-position model. The record is from RNAcentral.
AGAUUGAACGCUGGCGGCAGGCCUAACACAUGCAAGUCGAGCGGUAGAGAGGUGCUUGCACCUCUUGAGAGCGGCGGACGGGUGAGUAAUGCCUAGGAAUCUGCCUAGUGGUGGGGGAUAACGUUCGGAAACGGACGCUAAUACCGCAUACGUCCUACGGGAGAAAGCGGGGGACCUUCGGGCCUCGCGCCAUUAGAUGAGCCUAGGUCGGAUUAGCUAGUUGGUGAGGUAAUGGCUCACCAAGGCGACGAUCCGUAACUGGUCUGAGAGGAUGAUCAGUCACACUGGAACUGAGACACGGUCCAGACUCCUACGGGAGGCAGCAGUGGGGAAUAUUGGACAAUGGGCGAAAGCCUGAUCCAGCCAUGCCGCGUGUGUGAAGAAGGUCUUCGGAUUGUAAAGCAACUUUAAGUUGGAGGAAGGUUGUAACUUAAUACGUUGCAACUUUGACGUUACCGACAGAAUAAGCACCGCUAACUUCGUGCCUAGCAAGCCG